AUUGAACUCUGGCGGCAGGCCUAACACAUGCAAGUCGAGCGGAGCGGCAGACGGGUGAGUAAUGCCUCGGAAUCUGCCUGGUAGUGGGGGAUAACGUCAGACAACGGUCGCUAAUACAGCAUCCUAUCAGAUGAACCUAGGUCCGAUUAGCUAGGUGGUGGGGUAAAGGCCUACCAAGGCGAAGAUCCGUAACUGGUUUGCGAGGAUGAUCAGUCACACUUGAACGUAGACACGGGCCAGACUCCUACGGUAGGCAGCAGUGGUGAAUAUUGGACAAUGGGCGAAACCCUGAUCCAGCCAUGCCGCGUGUGGGAAGAAGGUCUUCGGUUGGUAAAGCACUUUUAGCUGGAAAGCGUUACCCACAGAAUAAGCACCGGCUAACUUCGUGCCAGCAGCCGCGGUAAUUC
This 407-nucleotide ribosomal RNA is filed under the name uncultured bacterium. RNAcentral describes it as "partial 16S ribosomal RNA". It matches the Rfam family "Bacterial small subunit ribosomal RNA", at positions 30 to 526 of the family's 1533-position model. The record is from RNAcentral.